This 275-nucleotide long non-coding RNA is filed under the name Musa acuminata (dwarf banana). RNAcentral's name for it is "long non-coding RNA (MACU_LNC011251)". Lineage: Eukaryota; Viridiplantae; Streptophyta; Magnoliopsida; Zingiberales; Musaceae. The record is from RNAcentral.
GAAGAGAAGACUUUUUAAAACCAAAUUCGACUAUAUGUCAUAAAUCGAGAUUCAAUGAAAGCGAAAAAACUCUCAUUCGAGUUUUCCAAUAAGUGUAGUCUAUCCCAUUGAAAAAGGAGGAAAUAUGAGAGAGUGACUCUUUUGAAAGCCAAAAAGAGUCAUUUCUCUUGGGUGUUAAACCAACUGAGAAAUCAUGAGGCUCUGAUACCAAUUAUUAGGAUCAGGGGUCGACACUAAGAGGGGGGGUGAAUUAGUGCAAUGGUAAAAUCACAUCU